AUGGCGGCCUUACCACUGCCACUCCUCGCCACCCUUCUCGAGAAUCCCGCGGCCACGCCCACGCAGCACAAGACCGACGACGGCUACCACACGCCCACCUCGCCGCCGUCUCAAGCCAAGAUGAUCUGCCCGCCGGCGCCGAGGAAGAUGAAGCCGCGCAAGAGGAGGAGGAGACAGCUGCUUGAGAUGCCGCCGGAAGCCAUCUCCGUCUCCACGGAGGAGCUGGACGCAGUGUUCAUGGAGAGGACGGGACCAACAGCAGCAGUAGCUCCUGCUGCUGCUCCUCCUCCUCCUUCCUCUUCUUGCAGUGCUGAAAGCGAAACGUCAACCACCAGCGACGGCAGCUGCAAGAAGAAGAGGAAGCGAUAA
Molecule: ribosomal RNA, 369 nt
Filed under: Triticum aestivum (bread wheat)
Lineage: Eukaryota; Viridiplantae; Streptophyta; Magnoliopsida; Poales; Poaceae
Description: partial small subunit ribosomal RNA
Source: RNAcentral